GAAUUAUUUCAUCAAAACAGAUAUGCUGCAUUAACUAUUUAUUUAGAAGUAAACUCUCUUUCAGAGCGAAGUGUCCAGGUUGCACACACAAAAGAGUGUGUGUGCGUGGCGGCGCUCAGUGGAGGUCGUGGGUCAAUAUGGACCUUGUUGGAUGCCGAGCCCCGAUGGUGUUCUCCGUGCUGAGCCGGGAUUGUAGCAACCUGGUCCCAUGAUCGGCCUAAUAAUUAAAGCUAUCCUGCAACCGGCGCCGUACUGCUGUGCUGCAUGCGCAUCAGGGGCCCAUGACAUGAUACAGAGGGACAGCUUAACUAUUAAAUAUCCAUCACGCCACGCCACAUCAGUCCUAAUGCAAUCAGAAACACAUGACUACAUCGCCCGGGCCCCCACUUCAAUCCACAAUGAUUAAAUGACAGUUCGAUUUGAUUGGGAAGAGGGGGGAUCUACUGUAGCUGCGCAGACUUAUUCGAGGCUUUGUGUACUUCAGAGAGAACGCACGUGGGCUGUGGUCUUUUUGCUGUAUUAUCAUUUUAAUGAAGCAGGGUAUUUCUUUUGUGGUCGGGAGGCUCUAAUGCAGUUGUCCAAGACUCCCCUUUCAUCUGUCUUCUUCAAAUGCUCGAGGUUGUUAAACAAAUGGAUGUGUCUGAGUAUAUAACGCUGAUGUGGCCAGGCUGUUGUUGACUGGGCCAAUUAGGGCUCAGAGAGAAAAGAAUAAGGCAUGUCUGUUCACUCACUCAAACCGUCAUACAAUACAGUCUGGCUGCUUUGUGUUUAUUAAAAUCACCUGGAUCCUUAAGGAUUUUGUAGAACACACCGUAGUAUGACAUUGCUAUCUGACGAUUUUCAUUAUCAGGACUUCCUGUACUGUUUUUAUCUUGCUAAUUAGCAUCUAAUUAUAAUAAAAAUGUUUUCCUCCUACCUGAUAUGUCAUGAAUUACCCGAUACCGUUGUCUCCGUGUUUAAAUGAGUGAGCAUCUUUAGAAAAAUGUUUAAUUUUACACCCAAGAGAUGAUAAUGAUGCAUACCUGUUUUCUUUAGUCGUAAUGAGAAUGCUGAAAUACGACAACGCUGAUUUCUCAAUGUGCUAAUUACUGAGCAAGUGCUGAUGCGCUAGUGGCUAAAGAUGUAUCCAAGUAAUAUUGUCAGUCAUGUUCUUUUCCAUAACGUCCACAACAAAAAUAGUUUUUGAAGAAAUAUGGUAGUUACGCUUUAAAAUAUAACAUUUUGAAAAUGCAUAGCAAGAAUUGCAUUAAUACAAUUUAAGAGUGUUAAUUUCAUUCAAUAAAUGC
This is a long non-coding RNA of Cyprinus carpio carpio, 1286 nucleotides long. NCBI's taxonomy places the organism in Eukaryota, Metazoa, Chordata, Actinopteri, Cypriniformes, Cyprinidae. The record is from Ensembl.